This 406-nucleotide ribosomal RNA is filed under the name uncultured prokaryote. RNAcentral describes it as "bacterial SSU rRNA". It matches the Rfam family "Bacterial small subunit ribosomal RNA", at positions 355 to 776 of the family's 1533-position model. RNAcentral also lists the same sequence under 1 other name. The record is from RNAcentral.
UGGGGAAUAUUGCACAAUGGGGGAAACCCUGAUGCAGCAACGCCGCGUGAAGGAUGAAGGUUUUCGGAUUGUAAACUUCUUUAGUCGGGGACGAAGAAAUGACGGUACCCGAAGAAUAAGCCACGGCUAACUACGUGCCAGCAGCCGCGGUAAUACGUAGGUGGCAAGCGUUGUCCGGAAUUACUGGGUGUAAAGGGCGUGUAGACGGGUAUGCAAGUCAGAUGUGAAAUUCCAGGGCUCAACCCUGGCGCUGCAUCUGAAACUGUAUAUCUUGAGUGCUGGAGAGGAAAGCGGAAUUCCUAGUGUAGCGGUGAAAUGCGUAGAUAUUAGGAGGAACACCAGUGGCGAAGGCGGCUUUCUGGACAGUAACUGACGUUGAGGCGCGAAAGCGUGGGGAGCAAACAGG